RNAcentral lists this transfer RNA (71 nucleotides) under Promethearchaeota archaeon. RNAcentral describes it as "Candidatus Lokiarchaeota archaeon (microbial mat metagenome) tRNA-His". It matches the Rfam family "tRNA". From Rfam's summary of the family: Transfer RNA (tRNA) molecules are approximately 80 nucleotides in length. Their secondary structure includes four short double-helical elements and three loops (D, anti-codon, and T loops). The record is from RNAcentral. Lineage: Archaea; Promethearchaeati; Promethearchaeota.
GCCGGUAUCUUCUAUCGGUAGGAUCACGGAUUGUGGUUCCGUCAAGGUGGGUUCAACUCCCGCUACCGGCA